AUGCCGUGGUGGGGGCAUGCUGCGAUGUAUUCCCGGAAUCUCUCCCAAGCUUCCGGAAUGGCUUCAUUUGGGAGCUGCUAAAAGCCAGAGAUCUUGCCUCGGAGGGU
This is a small nucleolar RNA of Panicum virgatum (switchgrass), 107 nucleotides long. Lineage: Eukaryota; Viridiplantae; Streptophyta; Magnoliopsida; Poales; Poaceae. The record is from RefSeq and is a predicted model, not a curated record.